This is a long non-coding RNA of Psammomys obesus (fat sand rat), 724 nucleotides long. RefSeq lists it as uncharacterized. The record is from RefSeq and is a predicted model, not a curated record. NCBI's taxonomy places the organism in Eukaryota, Metazoa, Chordata, Mammalia, Rodentia, Muridae. The transcript is spliced from 4 exons.
UCCAGGGGCAGCUGAUUUAGGGAUAGACGAGGCCGGUUCCCUGCUCAAACAACGCUGGUUUGUCCAGUCCUGCACGGGCAAAUGAAGAGGGUCAGCAUAACGUCCAUUGUUCCGCUGAAGAGUCUCAGAGCCGUGCCUGCCUCCUCUACAGAAUUCAAGUGUGAGAUGUGGAAAUGCUUUGUCCAUGGCUGAUAGUGACCUCGUGAGGGGCAUGUGAUCUUCAUCAGCUGACAGCAGCCUCCUGAGGGGAGAGAAAAGCUCCAGAGAAUUCUUUGUGAAGCUUCUGCUGAAUCUUGCUGCUGCUGUUGCUGGACCUUGUUGCUGCUUUCACUAUUGCUGCAUUGCUGGUUUGCUGUUUGACUGGGCUGCUGGUAUCCUGAGGACGAAGAGUGGAUUUACCCCAAGGAACUACUUUCUCUCCUGCCUGGUGUUGGAAGGGAUUGGAAUGGAAAAGGGAGGAAGAGACAGACAUAAGGAACCCCAAAUAAAGUGGGUUUUAAAAAGUCAAAGACUACAAAAAUCCAUAUUGGGCCAGAUAGAUGGUUCAGCUGAUAAAAGUGCUUGACUUCAAAGGCCUGAUGUCCCAAGUUAAGUCCCGGAGCCCACUGAGAAGGAGAGAAACACCUCCCUGAAACUGUCCGCUGAUGUCCCCACUGGGCCUGUACUCACACACAUGUAUCAUAUACAUGCACACAUAAGAAUAAAUAAACCAUGCUUACCCACA